Molecule: ribosomal RNA, 607 nt
Filed under: uncultured bacterium
Lineage: Bacteria
Description: bacterial SSU rRNA
Rfam family: Bacterial small subunit ribosomal RNA
Source: RNAcentral
CCUACGGGAGGCAGCAGUGAGGAAUAUUGGUCAAUGGGCGCAAGCCUGAACCAGCCAUGCCGCGUGCAGGACGACGCAUCUAUGGUGUGUAAACUGCUUUUGUACGGGAAGAAACCCUGCCACGUGUGGCAGAUUGACGGUACCGUAAGAAUAAGGAUCGGCUAACUCCGUGCCAGCAGCCGCGGUAAUACGGAGGAUCCAAGCGUUAUCCGGAAUCAUUGGGUUUAAAGGGUCCGUAGGCGGUUUUAUAAGUCAGUGGUGAAAUCCGGCAGCUCAACUGUCGAACUGCCAUUGAUACUGUAGGACUUGAAUUAUUGUGAAGUAACUAGAAUAUGUAGUGUAGCGGUGAAAUGCUUAGAUAUUACAUGGAAUACCCAUUGCGAAGGCAGGUUACUAACAAUAUAUUGACGCUGAUGGACGAAAGCGUGGGGAGCGAACAGGAUUAGAUACCCUGGUAGUCCACGCCGUAAACGAUGGAUACUAGCUGUUCGGAUGCAAAUCUGAGUGGCUAAGCGAAAGUGAUAAGUAUCCCACCUGGGGAGUACGAACGCAAGUUGAAACUUAAGGAAUUGACGGCUGAGAGAGCGAGAGACGACGAGGGAGGAGG